Molecule: ribosomal RNA, 252 nt
Filed under: uncultured bacterium
Lineage: Bacteria
Description: partial 16S ribosomal RNA
Rfam family: Bacterial small subunit ribosomal RNA
Source: RNAcentral
UACGUAGGUCCCGAGCGUUGUCCGGAUUUAUUGGGCGUAAAGCGAGCGCAGGUAGUUUAUUAAGUCUGGUGUAAAAGGCAGUGGCUCAACCAUUGUAUGCAUUGGAAACUGGUAGACUUGAGUGCAGGAGAGGAGAGUGGAAUUCCAUGUGUGGCGGUGAAAUGCGUAGAUAUAUGGAGGAACACCGGUGGCGAAAGCGGCUCUCUGGCCUGUAACUGACACUGAGGCUCGAAAGCGUGGGGAGCAAACAGG